GGGGUUGGGGCUCAAUGGUAGAGCGCUUGCCUAGUAUGUGUGAGGCCCUGGGUUCGAUCCUCAGCACCCCA
This 71-nucleotide transfer RNA is filed under the name Ictidomys tridecemlineatus (thirteen-lined ground squirrel). RNAcentral's name for it is "Spermophilus tridecemlineatus (thirteen-lined ground squirrel) tRNA". It matches the Rfam family "tRNA". Rfam says of the family: Transfer RNA (tRNA) molecules are approximately 80 nucleotides in length. Their secondary structure includes four short double-helical elements and three loops (D, anti-codon, and T loops). Further hydrogen bonds mediate the characteristic L-shaped molecular structure. tRNAs have two regions of fundamental functional importance: the anti-codon, which is responsible for specific mRNA codon recognition, and the 3' end, to which the tRNAs corresponding amino acid is attached (by aminoacyl-tRNA synthetases). tRNAs cope with the degeneracy of the genetic code in two manners: having more than one tRNA (with a specific anti-codon) for a particular amino acid; and 'wobble' base-pairing, i.e. permitting non-standard base-pairing at the 3rd anti-codon position. The record is from Rfam by way of RNAcentral. Lineage: Eukaryota; Metazoa; Chordata; Mammalia; Rodentia; Sciuridae.